UGGUGCGGAAGACUUAUUCAUGCUGUGCAUUUUUUUUGUAUAGUCUGCCUGUGGUGUGUUUAAGGGAUGGUAGUGAGGCUUUUGUAUGCUUGGCAAUGUUAGGUGGUUAGUUUAUGAUAGCUAGCUUCAAUUUGGUCAUUUGCCACUAAAACAGAUUUCAAUAUUCUCCCCUCAUGUAUCUCAAUCCUUUAUAUCUAAUCCUAGCAAACAUGCUUACCCUAAUUUCCAAACCCUUAACCUACUUUUUUGGCUCCAAACUAUCCAGACCGUUAGAUCAUUGUAAUUAGGGGAGGUUAGCACAUGAGCCAUUGAUCAAAUCUCAUUCCUUGAAAAUUGAUACACGCGCAUAGGAAAACAAAACAGCUGCUGAUAACAAAACACAACACACGCGUUUUCUCUUUCCCAAAACAAGCACGCCUUUCUUCUUCUUCCUCUUAUCAUCGUCACCACCGCCAACCCUCUCCGCCCCAUCCAUAGGAAACCAAGCAUCUCACCAUCUCCUCUUCACACUCCACCCAAACAGACUCCUUUGAUUCUAACCAUGAAAGAAGCAAGUAUGAGUAAUAGUGAGUGUAGCAGUAUGUUUCAAUCACAUUUAAGUAGGUUUACUUUAUAUUUAUAACUCUGUCAUGCUUCCAAAACAUUUUAAAUUUUACUUUUCAUCAUUCAAAUUGUUUGAAGUCUAUAGUCUAUCUGACAUGACAUGAGAGAUAAAUUUAUUUGUGAAAUUGUCUCCACUCUUUUUACAUUCUUCAAUGAACUCUUUAACAAGUUACUUGCCAAUUAUGUUUCAAUUUGUAGCAGAUGUUAUUGGAAGUUUAUGCGUCGUUCAAAACCACUUAUGUAAAAUACAUGGUGGUGAAUCCGUUGGUAGAUUUGAAGGGCAUAUUACUAAGGUGGGUUGCGUGGGGCUGGGAGCUUUUUCCUGCUACUGUUUUGCUGCAGAUUGAUAAGUAUCUCAUCGAGGCUUGGUGCGGAAGACUUAUUCAUGCUGUGCAUUUUUUUGUAUAGUCUGCCUGUGGUGUGUUUAAGGGAUGGUAGUGAGGCUUUUGUAUGCUUGGCAAUGUUAGGUGGUUAGUUUAUGAUAGCUAGCUUCAAUUUGGUCAUUUGCCACUAAAACAGAUUUCAAUAUUCUCCCCUCAUGUAUCUCAAUCCUUUAUAUCUAAUCCUAGCAAACAUGCUUACCCUAAUUUCCAAACCCUUAACCUACUUUUUUGGCUCCAAACUAUCCAGACCGUUAGAUCAUUGUAAUUAGGGGAGGUUAGCACAUGAGCCAUUGAUCAAAUCUCAUUCCUUGAAAAUUGAUACAUGCGCAUAGGAAAACAAAACAGCUGCUGAUAACAAAACACAACACACGCGUUUUCUCUUUCCCAAAACAAGCACGCCUUUCUUCUUCUUCCUCUUAUCAUCGUCACCACCGCCAACCCUCUCCGCCCCAUCCAUAGGAAACCAAGCAUCUCACCAUCUCCUCUUCACACUCCACCCAAACAGACUCCUUUGAUUCUAACCAUGAAAGAAGCAAGUAUGAGUAAUAGUGAGUGUAGCAGUAUGUUUCAAUCACAUUUAAAUGUUAUUGGAAGUUUAUGCGUCGUUCAAAACCACUUAUGUAAAAUACAUGGUGGUGAAUCCGUUGGUAGAUUUGAAGGGCAUAUUACUAAGGUGGGUUGCGUGGGGCUGGGAGCUUUUUCCUGCUACUGUUUUGCUGCAGAUUGAUAAGUAUCUCAUCGAGGCUUGGUGCGGAAGACUUAUUCAUGCUGUGCAUUUUUUUUGUAUAGUCUGCCUGUGGUGCGUUUAAGGGAUGGUAGUGAGGCUUUUGUAUGCUUGGCAAUGUUAGGUGGUUAGUUUAUGAUAGCUAGCUUCAAUUUGGUCAUUUGCCACUAAAACAGAUUUCAAUAUUCUCCCCUCAUGUAUCUCAAUCCU
Molecule: long non-coding RNA, 1920 nt
Organism: Medicago truncatula (barrel medic)
Lineage: Eukaryota; Viridiplantae; Streptophyta; Magnoliopsida; Fabales; Fabaceae
Exons: 2
Source: RefSeq, a predicted model, not a curated record